Molecule: long non-coding RNA, 734 nt
Organism: Mesoplodon densirostris (Blainville's beaked whale)
Lineage: Eukaryota; Metazoa; Chordata; Mammalia; Artiodactyla; Ziphiidae
Exons: 5
Source: RefSeq, a predicted model, not a curated record
GCUGGCCGGGAGAGCUAGGUGCGGAGGCGCGGGGGGUGGGGGGUGCGCGGAGGCCGUGGAUGCUAUGACGACCGGGAACCCGGAAGCCACCCGCCUGGCGCUGGACAGGCGCUGGGUCCACUUGAAUGUGUGCUCGUUCUCGCGCGCGCGCCUUUUUUGUGUGUGCUUUUCAAGGUGUGUGCUUGUCACACCCAUCCGUAUUCGUGUCACUAAAGUGAAGUCCGAAUUGGUGUAAUCGCGCGCUUCGCGCCAAUAGAGUGGAAAACGUGACCAAGCCCUUCGCGGAGCCCGCACGUGGCUCCCGGGACUGGAUUGUUACACGGGGCGGGGCGCGCUGUCGGCCCCAGUCACGGACUCGGUCUCCCUCCUCCCGGGGCAGAAGGUGAGCGCACCUGCCCUCGGGACACCUGUUCUUGAGGAUGAACUGGAGCGCUUUUCAACUCCGCAGAGCUGGACGCUGCCACCGGAAAGGCUCAGCUGGUGCGCUCUGGGGCCCGAGCAUUCCUGUUUUUCAGAGCUUCCCGGGUGAUUCCUGUCGCCAGCCACCGUAAGGAGAACGUGGGUGCAAAUGGCAGAGAUCUCAGGAGCAAGAGUGGCCACUGGCAUGGACAAGAGGCAAAAGGCUCCAUUAUGGCUCAGCAUGGCACUGCUCCCAGCCCACAGACUGAAGCAGACACCUAAUCAUAAUUGCUACCUAACCACGACCUUCUUAUCUCAUUGAGGACUCUGAGAGG